This 1190-nucleotide small RNA is filed under the name Arabidopsis thaliana (thale cress). RNAcentral describes it as "ATSL204530". The record is from RNAcentral. Lineage: Eukaryota; Viridiplantae; Streptophyta; Magnoliopsida; Brassicales; Brassicaceae.
AGUUAAAUACAUUGGAUUGUAACGUAUUUUGACCAAAGAAACACUAACAAAGCUAUUGACUGCUUCUAUGCAAUGUUUUGUUGGUUUUAUCAUCUUUUGGGAGAAAAUGGGUAUAAGUGUUGUCUAAACACUCCUAAUCCAUCUCUAACUCAUAUAAUUAUUCAAAUGCAUUGGAUUAUGACACAUUCUAACCAAAGAAACACUAACAACGCUAUUGACUGCUUCUAAGCAAUGUUUUGUUGGUUUUAGCCUCUUUUUGGACAAAAUAGGUAUAAGUGUUGUCUAAACACUCCUAAUCCAUCUUUAAGUCUUAUAAUUAGUUAAAUGCAUUAGAUUGUGACACAUUUUGACCAUAGAAACACUAACAAGGCUAUUGACUACUUCUCACCAAUUUUUUAUUGGUUUUAGCCUCUUUUGAGAGAAAUGGGUGUAAGUGUUGUCUGAACACUCCUAAUCCAUCUCUUAUUCUUUUAAUUAGUCAAAUGCAUUGGAUUCUGACACAUUUUAACCAUAGAAACACUAACAAGGCUAUUGAAUGCUUCUCAGCAAUUUUUUUGUUGGUUUUAACCUCUUUUGGGAGAAAUGGGUGUAAGUAUUGUCUAAACACUUCUAAUCCAUCUCUAACUCUUAUAAUUAGUCAAAUGCAUUAGACUGUGACACAUUUUGACCAUAGAAACACUAACAAAGCUAUUUAGUGCUUCUAAGCAAUGUUUUGUUGGUUUUAACCUCUUUUGGGACAAAUUGGAUAUAAGUGUUGUCUAAACACUCCUAAUCCAUCUCUAACUCUUAUAAUUAGUCAAAUGCAUUGGAUUGUAACAUAAAAACUAACAAAGUUCUUUGCUGCUUCUAAGCAAUUUUUUGUUGGUUUUAUCCUCUUUUGGGACAAAAUGGGUAUAAGUGUUGUCUAAACACUUUUACACCAUCUCUAACUCUUAUGAUUAGUCCAAUGCAUUGGAUUGUGACACAUUUUGACCAUAGAAACAGUAACAAAGCUAUUGACUGCUUCUAAGAAAUGUUUUGUUGGUUUUAGCCUCUUUUGGGACAAAAUGGGUAUAAAUGUUCUCUAAACACUCCUAAUUUAUCUCUAACUCUUAUAAUUAGUCAAAUGCAUUGGAUUGUGACACAUUUUGACCAUAGAAACACUAACAAAGCUGUUUAGUGCUUCUAAGCAAUGUUUUGUUGGUUUUAUC